ACUGCCACCUUGACGAGUUCCACUUAGGAACAGCCAGAGCAGCCCCUGUCAGCAUCAGGAAAAGCCCAGUGGGGGUCCCAAGAUGCUGCGAUUCUCUGCCGUGAUCCCAGAAAGUGGGUGAAACAGCCUAAACCUGUUCCUGCUGGGAGGAUGCUACCUGAAACUCGUGCCCAGCUGGCGGUUCUCUAGGAGGCUCCAUCCAAGGGAUUUGAAUUCCCACAAGCUCUCCUCCAUUUAACAAGAUUGAGAGUGAAAGUGAAAAUGAGCCCCAAGCCCAGCCUUCGCGUGACAGCUGUGGUCAAAACUGCCGCUGUGACUGUCAGCUCCCCGGGCUGUGCGCAGAGCCUGCCGGGUGGUCCCAAGGGUCAAUCAUGGGGCUGGAGCUUGGGGAGGAAGGGGAUCUCCACGCCCUCCCCCGAAGCCAGCUUGGGUGCAGGAUGGAUUCUGCACACUCCUUUCAAAUUCCCCACUCUCCAGGAACCCUCCUGUCCCCCUGCCCUCUCUGCUCACAUCAUCUGCUGCCCUAGACUUUGGAGGCUUGAAUUUCUGCACGAGGUGACUGCCAACAAAUGACAAGAGCAGCCAUUUAGUGAGCACGUAAUUCAUUUAAUGGUGCUGAACACAGAGCAAGUGCUGCAUGAGUAUUUUGGUUAGGGUUCACUUGUACCUUUUAGGUUUAGCUCUUAUGCAAAGCCUGUGGUUCAGAUCCAUGUGUCACCCUCAGGUCACUACGUCCCACUGCAGCAGGUAUGGGGAGAAUCAUAACCAUAACACCUUCCCUUGCAGUGAAUUUCUCUCUCAUAUUUGUCUUUAGUUUGAACCACAUAAUAAAUCUAUAAGCGUAUUAUAGUUCCUAUUCUAUAGAUGAGGAGACUGAGGCACACUAAGGGAAAAAGUGACAAGGAAGAGACUAGAGGCUACAUCUGAUUUUACACCAAGUAUUCAUCCCACACAAUGAAUAGCAACCACCGGAUGUUUUUCAAGAUUUGAGUGAAGGCCAGAAUCAAACUGAAGACUAUGUGUGUGUGUGUAUGUGUGUUCAUAUUCAAAAACACUACAUACACGCUACAUGUAUUAUAUAUAUUAUAUAAUAUACACACA
This 1101-nucleotide long non-coding RNA is filed under the name Homo sapiens (human). Its description in RNAcentral is "non-protein coding lnc-CCDC197-2:2". The record is from RNAcentral. Lineage: Eukaryota; Metazoa; Chordata; Mammalia; Primates; Hominidae.